Molecule: non-coding RNA, 97 nt
Organism: Acanthosepion pharaonis
Lineage: Eukaryota; Metazoa; Mollusca; Cephalopoda; Sepiida; Sepiidae
Source: the annotation of a GenBank genome assembly
UCAAACACCGGUUCUCGUACAAUCACCGAAGUUAAGCAACGUGGCGCCUGGUCAGUACCUAGAUGGGUGACAGGUUGGAAAUACUAGUUGCUGUAAG